UAAACGAAAGCCAAUUGGCACCUAUCUGUUAAGUAGGCCCCUGUUAACUAUUAACUCGUUUAA
RNAcentral lists this transfer RNA (63 nucleotides) under Glycera tesselata. Its description in RNAcentral is "tRNA-Asn". The record is from RNAcentral. Lineage: Eukaryota; Metazoa; Annelida; Polychaeta; Phyllodocida; Glyceridae.